RNAcentral lists this ribosomal RNA (446 nucleotides) under uncultured bacterium. Its description in RNAcentral is "SSU rRNA". It matches the Rfam family "Bacterial small subunit ribosomal RNA", at positions 26 to 518 of the family's 1533-position model. The record is from RNAcentral.
AGGAUGAACGCUGGCGGUCUGCUUAACACAUGCAAGUCGAACGGAGUAGAAAUACUUAGUGGCGGACGGGUGAGUAACGCGUGAGAAUCUACCUUCAGGACGAAGACAACAGUUGGAAACGACUGCUAACCCCCGAUGUACUGAAAAGGCAAAUAUUUAUAGCCUGAAGAAGAGCUCGCGUCCGAUUAGCUAGUUGGAGAGGUAAAAGCUCACCAAGGCGACGAUCGGUAGCUGGUCUGAGAGGACGAUCAGCCACACUGGGACUGAGACACGGCCCAGACUCCUACGGGAGGCAGCAGUGGGAAUUUUCCGCAAUGGGCGAAAGCCUGACGGAGCAAGACCGCGUGGGGAAGAAGGCUCUUGGGUUGUAAACCCCUUUUCUCUGGGAAGAACGCAAUGACGGUACCAGAGGAAUCAGCAUCGGCUAACUCCGCGCCAGCAGCCGC